This 307-nucleotide ribosomal RNA is filed under the name uncultured bacterium. RNAcentral describes it as "bacterial SSU rRNA". It matches the Rfam family "Bacterial small subunit ribosomal RNA", at positions 506 to 810 of the family's 1533-position model. The record is from RNAcentral.
UGCCAGCAGCCGCGGUAAUACGGAGGAUCCAAGCGUUAUCCGGAAUCACUGGGUUUAAAGGGUCCGUAGGCGGUUUAAUAAGUCAGUGGUGAAAGCCCAUCGCUCAACGGUGGAACGGCCAUUGAUACUGUUAAACUUGAAUUAUUAGGAAGUAACUAGGAAUAUGUAGGUGUAGCGGUGAAAUGCUUAGAGAUUACAUGGAAUACCAAUUGCGAAGGCAGGUUUCUACUAAUGGAUUGACGCUGAUGGACGAAAGCGUGGGUAGCGAACAGGAUUAGAUACCCUGGUAGUCCAAUCACUAGUGAAU